This 495-nucleotide ribosomal RNA is filed under the name Lioscincus steindachneri. RNAcentral's name for it is "partial 16S ribosomal RNA". It matches the Rfam family "Bacterial large subunit ribosomal RNA", at positions 1910 to 2612 of the family's 2925-position model. The record is from RNAcentral. Lineage: Eukaryota; Metazoa; Chordata; Lepidosauria; Squamata; Scincidae.
GAAUCAAUUUUUAAACGGCCGCGGUAUCCUAACCGUGCAAAGGUAGCGUAAUCACUUGUCUUUUAAAUAAAGACUAGUAUGAAUGGCCAAAUGAGGAUGGACCUGUCUCCUAUAAUCGACCAGUGAAACUGAUCUUCAAGUACAAAAGCUUGAAUAAAUACAUAAGACGAGAAGACCCUGUGAAGCUUAAAACUAACACUAUAUUAAACUUAACAUAGCGUUAAAUUUUAGUUGGGGCGACUUCGGAACAAAACAAAACUCCCGAGCACAGAGCCAACCACUCUAACCAAGACCCACAAGUCAAAGAAACUACUAGACCCAGUCUUACUGAGCAACGAACCAAGUUACCCCAGGGAUAACAGCGCCAUCUUCUUCAAGAGUCCAUAUCGACAAGAAGGUUUACGACCUCGAUGUUGGAUCAGGACACCCAAAUGGUGCAGCAGCUAUUAAAGGUUCGUUUGUUCAACGAUUAACAGUCCUACGUGAUCUGAGUUC